GCCUGGGUGGCUCAGUUGCUUGAGCGUCGGACUUUGGCUCAGGUCAUGAUCUGACCGUUUGUGGGUUCGAGACCCACACCGGGCU
Molecule: transfer RNA, 85 nt
Filed under: Felis catus (domestic cat)
Lineage: Eukaryota; Metazoa; Chordata; Mammalia; Carnivora; Felidae
Rfam family: tRNA
About the family: Transfer RNA (tRNA) molecules are approximately 80 nucleotides in length. Their secondary structure includes four short double-helical elements and three loops (D, anti-codon, and T loops). Further hydrogen bonds mediate the characteristic L-shaped molecular structure. tRNAs have two regions of fundamental functional importance: the anti-codon, which is responsible for specific mRNA codon recognition, and the 3' end, to which the tRNAs corresponding amino acid is attached (by aminoacyl-tRNA synthetases). tRNAs cope with the degeneracy of the genetic code in two manners: having more than one tRNA (with a specific anti-codon) for a particular amino acid; and 'wobble' base-pairing, i.e. permitting non-standard base-pairing at the 3rd anti-codon position.
Source: Rfam by way of RNAcentral